UCUUCUAAGCCACACUUUGGUGGGACUGUUGCAGCAGAACAGCCGGAUCUUUGAUGCCGCAUACAAAGCGCUCAUGAAAGCUUUCACAGAGCAUAACAAAUUUGGGAACCUGCCAUAUGGCUUUCGGGCAAACACUUGGGUGGUUCCACCAAUUGUUGCUGAUAACCCGUCGACAUUCCCGCCACUUCCUGUGGAAGAUGAAAACUGGGGUGGAAAUGGAGGCGGACAUGGAA
This is a non-coding RNA of Punica granatum (pomegranate), 233 nucleotides long. The record is from RefSeq and is a predicted model, not a curated record. Lineage: Eukaryota; Viridiplantae; Streptophyta; Magnoliopsida; Myrtales; Lythraceae.